AGGCCAGGAUAGCGGUCCACGGGCCCUUGGCCUGAGGAAACACCGCCCUCUCGGUGGCGACCGGGCCCUGAUGGGCUGGGGCAAUACCCCAGGCAACGGUACAGAAACGACACGGCCUCCACCAGAUGUUGAUGAUGUGGUAAGGCCUCCUUGGUAACAAGGAGGCAGAAAAGUCACGGAAGAUGGUGGAGGAUGCGAUGAAACGACCGACCCCGGUGGAGCAAGGCUGGGGGUGAUGAAGAGCCACGUAAACCCCCAAAGGCCGCAGAGUCAAAUGCCGCAAUACAGAAGGCGGGUUAUUAUCCUGGCCU
This 311-nucleotide RNase P RNA is filed under the name Hestiella acidicharens (SeqCode). RNAcentral describes it as "Candidatus Hestiella acidicharens RNase P RNA component". It matches the Rfam family "Archaeal RNase P". Rfam says of the family: Ribonuclease P (RNase P) is a ubiquitous endoribonuclease, found in archaea, bacteria and eukarya as well as chloroplasts and mitochondria. The record is from RNAcentral. Lineage: Archaea; Thermoproteati; Thermoproteota; Thermoprotei; Acidilobales; Acidilobaceae.